Molecule: unclassified non-coding RNA, 233 nt
Filed under: Hevea brasiliensis (rubber tree)
Lineage: Eukaryota; Viridiplantae; Streptophyta; Magnoliopsida; Malpighiales; Euphorbiaceae
Source: RNAcentral
AAAACAUGUUACACAAACAUAGUCAUUCGACGAAUAUGUUCAAGAAUCUUGAUUUACCUUCAAAAGGACUGGCCUAUGAAACUCUUACUAUUGUAGAUGCUGUAAAAGCCAGCAAACUCAGUGACCCUCCAAAUGGUACUUUCUCAUCCUGGAACACAAGGCCAACCGAACUUGAGCAGUUAGAGGUGAGACCAUUUUCAAGUGGGUACUCCAUUGAACCAGCUUUAACUCUA